This 463-nucleotide ribosomal RNA is filed under the name uncultured bacterium. Its description in RNAcentral is "partial 16S ribosomal RNA". It matches the Rfam family "Bacterial small subunit ribosomal RNA", at positions 28 to 507 of the family's 1533-position model. The record is from RNAcentral.
GAUGAACGCUGACAGAAUGCUUAACACAUGCAAGUCUUUGGCGAAGCUGUGCUUGCACAGCCUAGCCAAGGCGGACGGGUGAGUAACGCGUAAGGAACUUGCCCUGCAGUCAGGGAUAACAGACGGAAACGACUGAUAAGACCUGGUAAAGUCAGGCGGACUCAUGUCCAGCCUGAUGAAAAGAGAUGCUGCAGGAGAGCCUUGCGUCCUAUUAGCUUGUUGGUGGGGUAACGGCACACCAAGGCGAUGAUAGGUAGCCGGCCUGAGAGGGUGGACGGCCACAAGGGGACUGAGAUACGGCCCUUACUCCUACGGGAGGCAGCAGUGGGGAAUAUUGGACAAUGGGGGCAACCCUGAUCCAGCAAUUCUGUGUGCACGAUGAAGGUUUUCGGAUUGUAAAGUGCUUUCAGCAGGGAAGAAAAAAAUGACGGUACCUGCAGAAGAAGCGACGGCUAAAUACGUG